GACGAACGCUGGCGGCGUGCCUAAUACAUGCAAGUCGUGCGGACCUUUUAAAAGCUUGCUUUUAAAAGGUUAGCGGCGGACGGGUGAGUAACACGUGGGCAACCUGCCUGUAAGACUGGGAUAACGCCGGGAAACCGGGGCUAAUACCAGAUCGUUUUUUCCUCCGCAUGGAGGAAAAAGGAAAGGCGGCUUCGGCUGCCACUUACAGAUGGGCCCGCGGCGCAUUAGCUAGUUGGCGGGGUAACGGCCCACCAAGGCAACGAUGCGUAGCCGACCUGAGAGGGUGAUCGGCCACAUUGGGACUGAGACACGGCCCAAACUCCUACGGGAGGAAGCAGUAGGGAAUCUUCCGCAAUGGACGAAAGUCUGACGGAGCAACGCCGCGUGAGGGAAGAAGGCCUUCGGGUCGUAAAACUCUGUUGCCGUGGAAGAACAAGUGCCGUUCGAACAGGGCGGCGCCUUGACGGUACCCGGCCAGAAAGCCACGGCUAACUACGUG
Molecule: ribosomal RNA, 499 nt
Filed under: uncultured bacterium
Lineage: Bacteria
Description: partial 16S ribosomal RNA
Rfam family: Bacterial small subunit ribosomal RNA
Source: RNAcentral